This 293-nucleotide ribosomal RNA is filed under the name uncultured bacterium. RNAcentral describes it as "partial 16S ribosomal RNA". It matches the Rfam family "Archaeal small subunit ribosomal RNA", at positions 455 to 747 of the family's 1478-position model. The record is from RNAcentral.
GUGCCAGCCGCCGCGGUAAUACCGGCAGCUCAAGUGAUGUCCCAUAUUAUUGGGCCUAAAGCGUCCGUAGCUGGCCGACCAAGUCUCCCGGGAAAUCCACCCGCCCAACGGGUGGGCGUCUAGCGGAAACUGCCUGGCUUGGGGCCGGAGGACUCGAGGGGUACGUCCGGGGUAGGAGUGAAAUCCCGUAAUCCUGGACGGACCACCGGUGGCGAAAGCGCCUCGAGAGGACGGACCCGACAGUGAGGGACGAAAGCCAGGGUCUCGAACCGGAUUAGAAACCCUGGUAGUCC